RNAcentral lists this ribosomal RNA (792 nucleotides) under uncultured bacterium. RNAcentral describes it as "bacterial SSU rRNA". It matches the Rfam family "Bacterial small subunit ribosomal RNA", at positions 636 to 1428 of the family's 1533-position model. The record is from RNAcentral.
UCUGACUNGAGUGCAGAAGGGGAGAGUGGAAUUCCAUGUGUAGCGGUGAAAUGCGUAGAUAUAUGGAGGAACACCAGUGGCGAAAGCGGCUCUNUGGUCUGUCACUGACGCUGAGGCUCGAAAGCGUGGGUAGCGAACAGGAUUAGAUACCCUGGUAGUNCACGCCGUAAACGAUGAGUGCUAGGUGUUAGGCCCUUUCCGGGGCUUAGUGCCGGAGCUAACGCAAUAAGCACUCCGCCUGGGGAGUACGACCGCAAGGUUGAAACUCAAAGGAAUUGACGGGGGCCCGCACAAGCGGUGGAGCAUGUGGUUUAAUUCGAAGCAACGCGAAGAACCUUACCAGGUCUUGACAUCCCGAUGCUAUUCUUAGAGAUAGGAAGUUACUUCGGUACAUCGGAGACAGGUGGUGCAUGGUUGUCGUCAGCUCGUGUCGUGAGAUGUUGGGUUAAGUCCCGCAACGAGCGUAACCCUUAUUGUUAGUUGCCAUCAUUAAGUUGGGCACUCUAGCGAGACUGCCGGUAAUAAACCGGAGGAAGGUGGGGAUGACGUCAAAUCAUCAUGCCCCUUAUGACCUGGGCUACACACGUGCUACAAUGGUCGGUACAACGAGUUGCGAGCCGGUGACGGCAAGCUAAUCUCUGAAAGCCGAUCUCAGUUCGGAUUGGAGGCUGCAACUCGCCUCCAUGAAGUCGGAAUCGCUAGUAAUCGCGGAUCAGCACGCCGCGGUGAAUACGUUCCCGGGCCUUGUACACACCGCCCGUCACACCACGAGAGUUUGUAACACCCGAAGUC